GGGUUGUGAGGUUAAGCGACUAAGCGUACACGGUGGAUGCCCUGGCAGUCAGAGGCGAUGAAGGACGUGCUAAUCUGCGAUAAGCGUCGGUAAGGUGAUAUGAACCGUUAUAACCGGCGAUUUCCGAAUGGGGAAACCCAGUGUGUUUCGACACACUAUCAUUAACUGAAUCCAUAGGUUAAUGAGGCGAACCGGGGGAACUGAAACAUCUAAGUACCCCGAGGAAAAGAAAUCAACCGAGAUUCCCCCAGUAGCGGCGAGCGAACGGGGAGCAGCCCAGAGCCUGAAUCAGUGUGUGUGUUAGUGGAAGCGUCUGGAAAGGCGCGCGAUGUUAGCAUGUUCCGUACACAAAAAUGCACAUGCUGUGAGCUCGAUGAGUAGGGCGGGACACGUGGUAUCCUGUCUGAAUAUGGGGGGACCAUCCUCCAAGGCUAAAUACUCCUGACUGACCGAUAGUGAACCAGUACCGUGAGGGAAAGGCGAAAAGAACCCCGGCGAGGGGAGUGAAAAAGAACCUGAAACCGUGUACGUACAAGCAGUGGGAGCACGCUUAGGCGUGUGACUGCGUACCUUUGUGGCUACCGGUCAGCGAGGGUCAGCGACUUAUAUUCUGUAGCAAGGUUAACCGAAUAGGGGAGCCGAAGGGAAACCGAGUCCAACUUCAAGGCGUUAAGUUGUAUGGGUGACAGACCCUGAAACCCGGUGAUUCCAGCCGGCAGGUGGCUAUUGAAGCUGGGUAACACUAACUGGAUAACGCCGGAACCGACUAAUGUUGAAAAAUUCAGCGGAUGACUUGCAGGCCGGGGUGAAGUACACCAAACCGGGAGAUAUUGGUUCUCCCCGAAAGCUAUUUAGGUGAAGCGCUCGUGAAUCUCAUUCUCGGGUAGAGCACUGGUUUCGGUAUAAUAUCCCGACUUACUCAACCCGAACCCAACGAACGUUGACCACGUAUACACGGCGCCAAACGUUAGAAAGUGCCCGUCCACCAGCGUCCCGCUAAGUGCGGGAAACGAUGCAAGCGUCCAGAUGAUUGCCAUUUGUAGCUGUUUCACUCUCAUCAAAAGAAAGCGUAAUAGCCUCACUGGUCGAGUCGGCCUGCGCGCGGAAGAUGGACGGCUAACCAUGCACCGAAGCUGCGGGCAGCGACGCUGGAUGCGUUGUUGGGUAGGGAGUUGCCCUGUAAGCCUGCGAAGGUGUGCUGUGAGGCAUGCUGGAGGUAUCAGAAGUGCGAAUGCUGACAUAAGUAACGAUAAAGCGGGUGAAAAGCCCGCUCGCCGGAAGACCAAGGGUUCCUGUCCAACGUUAAUCGGGGCAGGGUGAGUCGACCCCUAAGGCGAGGCCGAAAGGCGUAGUCGAUGGGAAACAGGUUAAUAUUCCUGUACUUGGUGUUACUGCGAAGGGGGGACGGAGAAGGCUAUGUUGGCCGGGCGACGGUUGUCCCGGUUUAAGCGUGUAGGCUGGUUUUCCGCAAAUCCGGAAAAUCAUUGAGGCGUGAUGACGAGGUGCACUACGGUGCUGAAGCAACAAACGCCCGUUUCCGUGAAAGCCUCUACAUCAGGUAACACCAAAUCAAAUUCUCAACCGGACACACAGGUGGUCAGGUAGAAUACCGCGCCGAGAGAACCUGCGAAGGAACUAGGCAAAAUGGUGCCGUAACUUCGGGAGAGAAGGCACGCCGAUAUGUAGGUGAGGUCCUCGCGGACGGAGCUGAAAUCAGUCGAAGAUACCAGCUGUCUGCAACUGUUUAUUAAAAACACAGCACUGUGCAAACACGAAAGUGGACGUAUACGGUGUGACGCCUGCCCGGUGCCGGAAGGUUAAUUGAUGGGGUUAGCGCGAAGCUCUUGAUCGAAGCCCCGGUAAACGGCGGCCGUAACUAUAACGGUCCUAAGGUAGCGAAAUUCCUUGUCGGGUAAGUUCCGACCUGCACGAAUGGCGUAAUGAUGGCCAGGCUGUCUCCACCCGAGACUCAGUGAAAUUGAACUCGCUGUGAAGAUGCAGUGUACCCGCGGCAAGACGGAAAGACCCCGUGAACUCCUUUUUGCCAUAGCUUUGACACUGAACAUUGAGCCCUUGAUGUGUAGGGAUAAGGGUUUAGAAGUGUGGACGCCAGUCUGCAUGGAGCCGACCUUGAAAUACCACCCUUUAAUGUUUGAUGUUCUAACGUUGACCCGUAAUCCGGGUUGCGGACAGUGUCUGGUGGGUAGUUUGACUGGGGCGGUCUCCUCCUAAAGAGUAACGGAGGAGCACGAAGGUUGGCUAAUCCUCUGGUCGGACAUCAGGAGGUUAGUGCAAUGGCAUAAGCCAGCUUGACUGCGAGCGUGACGGCGCGAGCAGGUGCGAAAGCAGGUCAUAGUGAUCCGGUGGUUCUGAAUGGAAGGGCCAUCGCUCAACGGGAUAAAAGCAAUUCGGGAUAAUAUUGAUACCGCCCAAGAGUUCAUAUCGACGGCGGUGUUUGGCACCUCGAUGUCGGCUCAUCACAUCCUGGGGCUGAAGUAGGUCCCAAGGGUAUGGCUGUUCGCCAUUUAAAGUGGUACGCGAGCUGGGUUUAGAACGUCGUGAGACAGUUCGGUCCCUACGGGCGCUGGAGAACUGGAGGGGCUGCCCUAUACGAGAGGACCGGAGUGACGUAUCACUGGCGGUUCGGGUUGUCAUGCCAAUGGCACUGCCCGGUAGCUAAAUGCGGAAGAGAUAAGUGCUGAAAGCAUCUAAGCACGAAACUUGCCCCGAGAUGAGUUCUCCCUGACCCUUUAAGGGUCCUGAAGGAACGUUGAAGACGACGACGUUGAUAGGCCGGGUGUGUAAGCGCAGCGAUGCGUUGAGCUAACCGGUACUAAUGAACCGUGAGGCUUAACCUUACAACGCCGAAGCUGUU
This 2875-nucleotide ribosomal RNA is filed under the name Escherichia coli. RNAcentral describes it as "23S ribosomal RNA". It matches the Rfam family "Bacterial large subunit ribosomal RNA". The record is from RNAcentral. Lineage: Bacteria; Pseudomonadati; Pseudomonadota; Gammaproteobacteria; Enterobacterales; Enterobacteriaceae.